UACAAGGUUAAAAUAAUGCAGGAAAUUAAUGAUGAGGUGGCACCUUCUCACCGUCAGGGAGGUGUAUCACUCCGCCAGCAGCAAACUUGACGUCAUGGGCCAGGGCAUGCAGCGGCGUGCAGUGCGUGGGUAUGGUGACUGUGUGGCCUCUGAUGAAGAGGUGUGUGAGCUGCUGGACGAGAGAAGAGCAAAUGAAAAGUAAACAUGGGAUUGCUGCCGCCUCAGGACACUAGGAGCAUUGCGGAAGCGCUGAGGAAGACAUCACAACCCUUGACACAGCGAACACAACUCUGUACUGAGGCUGGCACUGGCUUCUCCCAACACCUCGCGUGGUCAUUGCAACAAAAGGAGGCAACUCCCGCCUCCAGCACCACCACCAUAUACCCGCCUCUCUCCCUGCCGGCCAUGUUAACACUCAGGUAAGGUGUGUCUUUAACGAAACUGAGCUCAAGAGAGGAGUGCAGGGACGAGUUAUCCUGCCAAACACUUCCCGUGGUUCCAAACACUACUUGCAAGAACACCAGGAACCAGUUAUCCUUACGAAUAUGCAUGAUAGCAAAGCGUGAUGUAAAAAAUAAAAAGAGAGAAAAAGUAACAAUAUGUGAGUCAUUACACAUGUUACUAUUAAAAAAAAAAAGAAAAAAAACACACAAAAAAUAUAUAUAAGUAAUCUAGAUGUGUAGGUGAAGACGUGGAAAUAUUGUCAAGCUGAAGAAAGGUAGACUAUUAGAGAAGAGAAAAAGUAUACAAGUAGAGAAGUAGAUAAGGCAUGGCUGACUCAUCUUUUUAAUUUGAUAUUUUAGUAUAAAGGAUAAAAAAAAAAGCGGAAUGGAACGUGUGUGUGUGUGUGUGUGUGUGUGUGUGUGUGUGUGUGUGUGUGUGUGUAUAAGCCAUCAGAUUUACGGGCCGUGUGAUGUUGGUGCAUAUUUUAUUGAGUCCCACGCCACAAGUGGAGGCACGGUGUCCAUCCUGUUACACACCUGACUGCUGGGUGAGUGAAGAUUUGACAUAUGGCGGGACGAUAAUACAACAAAACACGAUAAACAACACGAUAAAAUUAAACGCGGCUGCAAGAUUUAUAUAGUUUACGCUCAUAGUCUGCCUCUUUUUAUUACGGUGGACAUUAUUCUGUGACUCUGCUCUCUGAUGUACAGGACAAUUUAUCCACAACAAACCCUUCACUAAAAAGUAAUACAAGACCAGAAAAAAAAAAAGUCAUGCAGUGAACUUUUUAUUUAGACGAACAUGUUUUGGUAACUCAUAUGACUCACCACGUUUUGACUGCAGUUUAAUUUUAGAAGGUUGACAUUUCCCACCCCCUUUACAAAAAAAAAAAAAA
Scylla paramamosain (green mud crab) is the source of this 1339-nucleotide RNA transcript. RefSeq lists it as uncharacterized. Lineage: Eukaryota; Metazoa; Arthropoda; Malacostraca; Decapoda; Portunidae. The transcript has 3 exons. The record is from RefSeq and is a predicted model, not a curated record.